RNAcentral lists this unclassified non-coding RNA (1035 nucleotides) under Bombus terrestris (buff-tailed bumblebee). RNAcentral describes it as "misc RNA ENSBTSG00005031224.1". Lineage: Eukaryota; Metazoa; Arthropoda; Insecta; Hymenoptera; Apidae. The record is from RNAcentral.
GAUGCAUGGAAUAAAAAACGAUUCGCAAAGUGCAGGGAAUGGAGUCAGUGUCAAUAUUAGUACUAAAGAGCAUACCAUUAAUAUCCGGAUAUGUAUAACACGUCAUUAUUUGAUAUCAGCAUCAGUCAUAUACCAAUGAAAGUAGUAAUAUAUUACUAUAGCAAUUCUAUGUAAUCUACUACACAGAACUAAUUGCAUUACAAGUUAAAUAUCACAAAGACUUCCCAGAAAAAUAUUAACAUGCCUAAUAUUUUACACAUUAUUUAAAAAAAGAGAUACAGUACGACGAGUCAUAGAAAUGGACACAUAUAUAUAUAUAAUCUGAAACAGUUCCGUAUCAAGCUCAUAAAUUUAACAAAAACCCAUUCUUCGCAUUCAUACAUCAAGCUUAACGUUUUUUUCAAGGCUAAAUCAUCAUAUGCAGCACAUUUAAAAAGAAAAACAGGAAGAAGUAGCUUUGAACCAAAGCAAAACAAACAAAAUUAAGAAUUAUUCAGAUAUCCGAUUAAUUACUUAACCGUCAGGUGAUAAAAUGAUAAAUUGAAAACGAAAUAACGCGCCGUUUCUAGCUCUCGAACUUUAGACUAAUUAUCUAACGAAUGUUUACUUUACCAGUCGAAGAUUCAUAGCACCGAUACGAUCACCGAUCCAACAAACACCCCGAUAAAUCUCCCCAAUGCGAAUAGAUCGAGCAACUUCAUUCUUCCUUCUUAACUUGUUUUUAACAAUAAUCAAAUAACGCGGAGAACUGUCUGUUUUUAUCUUCUUUUUAAUCCCUCUUUUUUUUUUUGUUAAACGUAUAUAUUAAUUCUUUGAUAACCUUACAAACGAUCAAACGACCUUAAAACAUAGAUAAAAACAGAGUCUGCCGGUCCAAAACAUGCAUCGUAUAAAAAUAGUAAGCGUAGAUUGCGCGAUCGCGUGAUGUUGUAAAAUUAAAAGAAAAACUUAUCGGCGCCGUGUAAUAAAGGUGUGUUUUGAUGGGUUUGAUUUCAAUCAUUGAAUGAAUAACAGAAAGAGAAUAAACGAAAAAGA